AGUGAACGCUGGCGGUAGGCCUAACACAUGCAAGUCGAACGGCAGCACAGUAAGGGCUUGCUCUUACGGGUGGCGAGUGGCGGACGGGUGAGGAAUACAUCGGAAUCUACUUUUUCGUGGGGGAUAACGUAGGGAAACUUACGCUAAUACCGCAUACGACCUACGGGUGAAAGCAGGGGAUCUUCGGACCUUGCGCGAUUGAAUGAGCCGAUGUCGGAUUAGCUAGUUGGCGGGGUAAAGGCCCACCAAGGCAACGAUCCGUAGCUGGUCUGAGAGGAUGAUCAGCCACACUGGAACUGAGACACGGUCCAGACUCCUACGGGAGGCAGCAGUGGGGAAUAUUGGACAAUGGGCGCAAGCCUGAUCCAGCCAUACCGCGUGGGUGAAGAAGGCCUUUGGGUUGUAAAGCCCUUUUGUUGGGAAAGAAAAGCAGCAGGUUAAUACCCCGCUGUUCUGACGGUACCCAAAGAAUAAGCACCGGCUAACUUCGUG
This 492-nucleotide ribosomal RNA is filed under the name uncultured bacterium. Its description in RNAcentral is "partial 16S ribosomal RNA". It matches the Rfam family "Bacterial small subunit ribosomal RNA", at positions 29 to 507 of the family's 1533-position model. The record is from RNAcentral.